This 253-nucleotide ribosomal RNA is filed under the name uncultured bacterium. RNAcentral describes it as "partial 16S ribosomal RNA". It matches the Rfam family "Bacterial small subunit ribosomal RNA", at positions 524 to 776 of the family's 1533-position model. The record is from RNAcentral.
UACGUAGGGCGCAAGCGUUGUCCGGAUUUAUUGGGCGUAAAGAGCUCGUAGGCGGUCUGUCGCGUCGGCUGUGAAAACCCGGGGCUCAACUCCGGGCUUGCAUUCGAUACGGGCAGGCUAGAGUUCGGUAGGGGAGUCUGGAAUUCCUGGUGUAGCGGUGAAAUGCGCAGAUAUCAGGAGGAACACCGGUGGCGAAGGCGGGACUCUGGGCCGAAACUGACGCUGAGGAGCGAAAGCGUGGGGAGCGAACAGG